Molecule: ribosomal RNA, 254 nt
Filed under: uncultured bacterium
Lineage: Bacteria
Description: partial 16S ribosomal RNA
Rfam family: Bacterial small subunit ribosomal RNA
Source: RNAcentral
UACGGGGGGAGCAAGCGUUGUUCGGAUUUACUGGGCGUAAAGGGCGCGUAGGCGGCCACUGCAAGUCAGUUGUGAAAUCUCCGGGCUUAACCCGGAAAGGUCAGCUGAUACUGCAGGGCUAGAGUGCAGAAGGGGCAACUGGAAUUCUCGGUGUAGCGGUGAAAUGCGUAGAUAUCAGGAGGAAUACCGAUGGCGAAGGCAGGUCUCUGGGCUGACACUGACGCUCAUGCACGAAAGCGUGGGGAGCAAACAGG